This 463-nucleotide ribosomal RNA is filed under the name uncultured soil bacterium. RNAcentral describes it as "bacterial SSU rRNA". It matches the Rfam family "Bacterial small subunit ribosomal RNA", at positions 26 to 476 of the family's 1533-position model. The record is from RNAcentral.
AGAUUGAACGCUGGCGGCAUGCUUUACACAUGCAAGUCGUGCGGCAGCGCGGGGGCAACCCUGGCGGCGAGCGGCGAACGGGUGAGGAAUACAUCGGAACGUACCCCGGAGUGGGGGAUAACCCAGCGAAAGUUGGACUAAUACCGCAUAUGCUCUGAGGAGGAAAGCAGGGGACUUCGCAAGAGGCCUUGCGCUCUGGGAGCGGCCGAUGUCCGAUUAGCUAGUUGGUGGGGUAAUGGCUCACCAAGGCGACGAUCGGUAGCUGGUCUGAGAGGAUGAUCAGCCACACUGGGACUGAGACACGGCCCAGACUCCUACGGGAGGCAGCAGUGGGGAAUUUGGACAAGUGGGGCAACCUGAUCCAGCCAUGCCGCGUGGCGGGAAGACGGCCGUUCGGUUGUAAACCGCGUUUUUGGCGGGAAGAAGGCGAGGUCUUGAAGUACGGUCCGUGUUCUUUGACGUU